AGGAUAAACGCUGGCGGCGUGCCUAACACAUGCAAGUCGAACGUCUCUUCUUUCGGGAAGAGGAGUGGCGGACGGGUGAGGAACACGUGGGAACCUGCCCUUUAGUGAGGAAUACCGGCGAGAAAUCGCCGACAAGACCGCAUAGCCCUCUUUGAUGAGAGUCAAAGAAGGAAAGCUUCGCAAGAGGCGCUAGAGGAGGGGCCUGCGUCCGAUUAGCUAGUUGGUGGGGUAAGAGCCUACCAAGGCGUCGAUCGGUAGCUGGUCUGAGAGGACGAUCAGCCACACUGGGAUUGAGAACGGCCCAGACUCCUACGGGGGCAGCAGUGAGGAAUUUUCGGCAAUGGGGGAAACCCUGACCGAGCAACGCCGCGUGCAGGAAGACGGCCUUCGGUUGUAACUGCUUUUCUUGGGACGAGAACGGACGGUACCAGAGGAAUCAGCCCGGCUCACUACGUGCCAGCAGCCGC
This 467-nucleotide ribosomal RNA is filed under the name uncultured bacterium. RNAcentral describes it as "SSU rRNA". It matches the Rfam family "Bacterial small subunit ribosomal RNA", at positions 26 to 518 of the family's 1533-position model. The record is from RNAcentral.